This 483-nucleotide ribosomal RNA is filed under the name uncultured bacterium. RNAcentral describes it as "bacterial SSU rRNA". It matches the Rfam family "Bacterial small subunit ribosomal RNA", at positions 501 to 986 of the family's 1533-position model. The record is from RNAcentral.
CUACGUGCCAGCAGCCGCGGUAAUACGGAAGGUCCGGGCGUUAUCCGGAAUUAUUGGGUUUAAAGGGAGCGCAGGCGGGAGUGUAAGUCAGCUGUUAAAUAUCAGGGCCCAACUCUGUUAUGCAGUUGAAACUAUAUUUCUUGAGUACGCACAGGGAUGGCGGAAUUCAGGGUGUAGCGGUGAAAUGCUUAGAUAUCCUGAAGAACUCCGAUCGCGAAGGCAGCCAUCCGGAGCGUAACUGACGCUGAGGCUCGAAGGUGCGGGUAUCAAACAGGAUUAGAUACCCUGGUAGUCCGCACGGUAAACGAUGUAUACUCGCAGUUCGGUUAUUAUGGUCGAGCUGUCCAGCGAAAGCGUUAAGUAUUCCACCUGGGGAGUACGCCGGCAACGGUGAAACUCAAAGGAAUUGACGGGGGCCCGCACAAGCGGAGGAACAUGUGGUUUAAUUCGAUGAUACGCGAGGAACCUUACCCGGGCUUGAAC